UUACCUACCUGGCAGGGGAGAUACCAUGAUCAUGACAGUGGUUUUCCCAGGGCGAGGCUGAUUCAUUGCACUCUGGAUGUGCUGACCCCUGAGACUUCCCCAAAUGUGGGAAACUUGACUGCAUAAUUUGUGGUAGUGGGGGACUGCGUUCGCGCUCUCCCCUG
Molecule: small nuclear RNA, 164 nt
Filed under: Sorex araneus (European shrew)
Lineage: Eukaryota; Metazoa; Chordata; Mammalia; Eulipotyphla; Soricidae
Description: U1 spliceosomal RNA (ENSSARG00000016834.1)
Rfam family: U1 spliceosomal RNA
About the family: U1 is a small nuclear RNA (snRNA) component of the spliceosome (involved in pre-mRNA splicing).
Source: RNAcentral